UACAGAGGUCCCAAGCGUUGUUCGGAUUCACUGGGCGUAAAGGGUGCGUAGGAGGUUGGCAAAGUCGGGUGUGAAAUCUCACCGCUUAACGGUGAAAUGGCGCUCGAUACUGGUUGACUAGAGUAUCGGAGGGGAAAGCGGAAUUCCUGGUGUAGCGGUGAAAUGCGUAGAUAUCAGGAGGAACACCAACGGCGAAGGCAGCUUUCUGGACGAUAACUGACUCUGAGGCACGAAGGCUAGGGGAGCGAACGGG
This 253-nucleotide ribosomal RNA is filed under the name uncultured bacterium. Its description in RNAcentral is "partial 16S ribosomal RNA". It matches the Rfam family "Bacterial small subunit ribosomal RNA", at positions 524 to 776 of the family's 1533-position model. The record is from RNAcentral.